RNAcentral lists this ribosomal RNA (800 nucleotides) under Bacillus velezensis. RNAcentral's name for it is "bacterial SSU rRNA". It matches the Rfam family "Bacterial small subunit ribosomal RNA", at positions 28 to 816 of the family's 1533-position model. Lineage: Bacteria; Bacillati; Bacillota; Bacilli; Caryophanales; Bacillaceae. The record is from RNAcentral.
CACAAAUUGCCGGGUGCUAUACAUGCAGUCGAGCGGACAGAUGGGAGCUUGCUCCCUGAUGUUAGCGGCGGACGGGUGAGUAACACGUGGGUAACCUGCCUGUAAGACUGGGAUAACUCCGGGAAACCGGGGCUAAUACCGGAUGGUUGUCUGAACCGCAUGGUUCAGACAUAAAAGGUGGCUUCGGCUACCACUUACAGAUGGACCCGCGGCGCAUUAGCUAGUUGGUGAGGUAACGGCUCACCAAGGCGACGAUGCGUAGCCGACCUGAGAGGGUGAUCGGCCACACUGGGACUGAGACACGGCCCAGACUCCUACGGGAGGCAGCAGUAGGGAAUCUUCCGCAAUGGACGAAAGUCUGACGGAGCAACGCCGCGUGAGUGAUGAAGGUUUUCGGAUCGUAAAGCUCUGUUGUUAGGGAAGAACAAGUGCCGUUCAAAUAGGGCGGCACCUUGACGGUACCUAACCAGAAAGCCACGGCUAACUACGUGCCAGCAGCCGCGGUAAUACGUAGGUGGCAAGCGUUGUCCGGAAUUAUUGGGCGUAAAGGGCUCGCAGGCGGUUUCUUAAGUCUGAUGUGAAAGCCCCCGGCUCAACCGGGGAGGGUCAUUGGAAACUGGGGAACUUGAGUGCAGAAGAGGAGAGUGGAAUUCCACGUGUAGCGGUGAAAUGCGUAGAGAUGUGGAGGAACACCAGUGGCGAAGGCGACUCUCUGGUCUGUAACUGACGCUGAGGAGCGAAAGCGUGGGGAGCGAACAGGAUUAGAUACCCUGGUAGUCCACGCCGUAAACGAUGAGUGC